This 1188-nucleotide long non-coding RNA is filed under the name Pavo cristatus (Indian peafowl). RNAcentral describes it as "lncRNA (ENSPSTG00000011202.1)". The record is from RNAcentral. Lineage: Eukaryota; Metazoa; Chordata; Aves; Galliformes; Phasianidae.
AUGCCUCGCGGCGGGGUGGGCCGUCUGGAACACGGCGGCCCGAGCUCCGAGGCCGCAUCCCGCACAAAGGCGAGGCUCAGAGCUGCUCCCCGUUACAUAAUGGCCGGGGGCCGCGGCGGGGCCGGGACGGGGCCCUUUCCGGGGACACGGAGGUGGGAACCACUUGAGAGGCGGGAAAAGGUCCCCGCGGGGGUCGCUCCGCGGAGGGGAUGCGAUCCUCCGGCGGCGGCAGAGGGCAGCGGGGCCGUGCAGUUCACCGACACCCAAGGGCGGCCCAACAGUGACCUUGCGAGCGCCGGGCCCCCCACAUGGCCACGGCCCCAGCAGGGCGAGCCCCGGCACCAUGAGAAAGCAGAAAACGCCGCACCGCCUGAGCGGGCGGCCCCGAGCCGACAGACGAACCGCCGGACGGAGAGCGCGGCAGGCCCGGUGCUCUCUACUGCCCACAAAGCCUCGCGACCCGGCCGGCCGGCCCUGCAGCACCGGCCCCGACCCCACCGCCGCACCGGGCCCGCCACGAUGGCCCGCGCCGCCGCACCAGGCUUCCCCCAACACCAGCCCUGCAACUCCGCACCACCACCGAGGCAGGGCGGAGCACCGGGCAGCAGCCCGCUCCGGGGGCUGCCGGUGCCGCGCACCCGUCUGUGCGUUCCCUCCCGCCCGCCGCCAGCCCACGCCUACCUGGCCGGCCCGUUCCCCGGGCCCCGCGCGGCACUAGGCCCGGCUGAGCGCCACGGCGUUUCCUGGGCGGCCGGCGGCAGCAAGCCCGCGGCGGCAGCGCCAGCCCCUCCCCCUGGCAGCGGUACGACGGCUGCUCCCCAGGCCGGGCGGAAACGGCAAUGCGCGCACGGGGAUCCCCGGCGCCGGCGCCAGGGGCGCCCCGGCCACGCCUACUCGCGCUCUCCGUUGGCUGCCACGGCGCUGCGUCGCGCCCCGCCGGGCCGCCCGCCGCCGAUAUCGCCCCACCUUCCCUCACUUCCUAUUGGUGGGCUCUUCGCCCGGCCCCUCCCGCGCUCUUUUCUCAUUGGAAGCCGCCCGCCCGCCCCGCUGCUCGCCUCACUGACGCGGCGUCCCAUUGGCUCGCCAGGCUGCCAAUCAGCGGGGGAGGGCGGGACGACGCUAGUGCCGACGCGGUGCGGCCGGGCGGGCUGCGACGGUGCCCGCCGGCCGAGGCGCGCUACGUGCUGA